Gossypium raimondii (Peruvian cotton) is the source of this 87-nucleotide microRNA precursor. It matches the Rfam family "MIR7486 microRNA precursor family". Lineage: Eukaryota; Viridiplantae; Streptophyta; Magnoliopsida; Malvales; Malvaceae. The record is from Rfam.
CAGGUCAGCGCGCCUUGUUGACGUGGAAGGAAAUUGCGUCCGCGGGCAAGCGCUUUGCUUCCACGUCAGCAGGUCGCGCUGACGUGG